Molecule: ribosomal RNA, 254 nt
Filed under: uncultured bacterium
Lineage: Bacteria
Description: partial 16S ribosomal RNA
Rfam family: Bacterial small subunit ribosomal RNA
Source: RNAcentral
GACAGAGGGUGCAAACGUUGCUCGGAAUCAUUGGGCGUAAAGCGCACGUAGGCGGCUUCAAAAGUCGGAUGUGAAAUCCCACGGCUCAACCGUGGACGUGCAUCCGAAACUGGGGAGGCUUGAGUACUGAAGAGGAUCGCGGAAUUCCCGGUGUAGAGGUGAAAUUCGUAGAGAUCCGGAAGAACACCGGUGGCGAAGGCGGCCUGCUGGGCAGUGGCUGACACUGAGGCGCGACAGCGUGGGGAGCAAACAGG